Molecule: ribosomal RNA, 460 nt
Filed under: uncultured bacterium
Lineage: Bacteria
Description: partial 16S ribosomal RNA
Rfam family: Bacterial small subunit ribosomal RNA
Source: RNAcentral
CCUACGGGUGGCAGCAGUGAGGAAUAUUGGUCAAUGGACGAGAGUCUGAACCAGCCAAGUAGCGUGAAGGAUGACUGCCCUAUGGGUUGUAAACUUCUUUUAUAUGGGAAUAAAACGUUCCACGUGUGGGAUUUUGUAUGUCCCAUAUGAAUAAGGAUCGGCUAACUCCGUGCCAGCGACCACGGUAAUACGGAGGAUCCGAGCGUUAUACGGAUUUAUUGGGUUUAAAGGGAGCGUAGGUGGAUUGUUAAGUCAGUUGUGAAAGUUUGCGGCUCAACCGUAAAAUUGCAGUUGAAACUGGCAGUCUUGAGUACAGUAGAGGUGGGCGGAAUUCGUGGUGUAGCGGUGAAAUGCUUAGAUAUCACGAAGAACUCCGAUUGCGAAGGCAGUUCACUGGACUGCAACUGACACUGAGGCUCGAAAGUGUGGGUAUCAAACAGGAUUAGAUACCCUAGUAGUC